GUGUUUUAAUAUAGCAAAUUCCAAAAUAUGAACCGUGUAUAAUAUUGUAUUGUAAAUUGAUCGUUUUGAAGGUCUUUUAAAUGUAUGAUAAGUAGCCUCAAUAUUGAAUAGUAUAUAUUUUUUCAGUUCAAGAAUGGACGUUUCUGUUGAGCCCAUGUGAGCCCCAUCUUCUUGGAUAUUGCCACAAGGUCCCACAAUACAAUAUCAUAACUGUAUGUAAUGUAUGUGCAUUUGUGGGGACAACGCAUGUGUAAGUUAGACGUGCAUGUGUUGCUGUUCUGAUUGGUCAGUUAAGCUUGAUGGACACACUGUAAAUGCUCAUGUUUAUAUUUGUAUCCUCGUCAUUUUCCAUACAUGACUCUAUUUUGAUAGAAAACAAAACAGCUUUCACCAACAUGCAGGUAAUUUCAUUUGUAUCCAAUUAUUUACAGUGUUUAAUACACACAAGCAAAGGAUUUAUGUGUUUCUUUAUUAUUUUGACAUUGCAAGUACAUGUAUUAUAUGUAGUAUACAUAUUUAGAACAUGCUUGUCUUUUUAACAGUGGCUUAUCUAUGGGUGUUCGUCGGCGUGUUGAUGAGGGAGGGGGACCUAAAAAAGACGCCCCCUUUUUUCUGAAUUGAAAAUUUAAGAAAAAAAAAAUUAUGCAAAAAUCAUUCACCCAUUCACCUUUGCACACCUAUCAUCCCCUUCCCCCAUUUAAAGAUUCCUUGAUUUUAAACUUUAGUUGUUAGAAACUAUCCUUCUGAAAGUAGGAUAGGUGAUACCAAACCUAAAGAAUUUAUUUUUGUUAUUUCUGAUUCUCAAUUUUAUCAUUGAUAUUAUGUUAUAAUAUAAUAGUUGUACGUCGUGCAAAAAUGUUAUAAACAAGUACAGAGUAAUAAAAAUGCAAUUAGUGGAAACAAUGUUUUUUUUACAUGAAAUGUAUGUACCUUUCCAGUUUUUAGUUGCCUAAAAUAAAGUAUAAUGUUAGUAAUUGAGUCACUGUUUGUCUUGUCAGCUUAUCAACUCUCAUCCCAUAGAAUAAAAAGAAUAUGCUUCAAUCACACCGACUACAAUAACCAGAUCAACAAACAAAUUUAUCUUGUUCCAAUAAGGAGAAAUAUUCAUUCUGUUGAAUCAAAGUAAUUAUUUCUCCUAAAUUACAAUAACCAGCCUUCUCAUCUCAAAAUUGUGGAUAUCCCCUUACAAUUCGAUUCGAAGCCCAAAUUGCUGAAGCCUCUUCUGAUCUAUAAUCUCCCUCCCCCAACCCCGAACAACCAGUGCUUCAAGCCUCGUGACGUCACUUCACGAGGUAACCAAUCGGCAUUGGUGGUUUUAGCAUGGCGGCAAUGUGAAAACUGCAGGUCCUAUAGGAAGUUGAUGUUUUCGUAAAAUCCCACUUUUUGUACGGCCUAACAUCAUGAUAUGGUGUGUCAAAUAUAUAAAGGAUCUACAGUUUGAAUUUGGUUAAGGUUGUUUGCUAGUUGACUCAUUUGCAUAAUUCACCAAACCAUGGCAUCAUCACAAUGAUGUAAUGAUAAUGAAUAUUCAUUGUCAGACACUUGAAACUACAAACAGAAGUGACAGCACAGCAAGAGAAACAGCGCGGCCGAAGUGGUGGGUGGCACACAAGUUUCACAGCAGAUUGAUCCUAACCAGGUUGCCUAUUUCCUAACAACUGUUUUAGUGAACACUGUAGUAUUUAUUUUUUAUUUGAAUGCUAAGGGCAGUUUUUAUACACGCUGCCGAUAUGCGGCACCCUACUCCAAUGGCAAUUCGGUUGACUACACGAUUUUGGGCUUGCUGCUCGUUCUUUGACCAGUACAGUUUGCUAGUUGACUCAUUUGCAUAAUUCACAAUGAUGCAAUAAUGAAUAUUCAUUAUACUGCUGAAGUGACACCACAGCAAGAGCAACUUCUAGAUAGCAUAUAUACCUUUCAGCACAGCUGGCGGUAA
RNAcentral lists this long non-coding RNA (1936 nucleotides) under Anneissia japonica. Its description in RNAcentral is "uncharacterized LOC117124914". The record is from RNAcentral. Lineage: Eukaryota; Metazoa; Echinodermata; Crinoidea; Comatulida; Comatulidae.